AAGUUCACCCUGCCUGACCCCUGCCUUGUAUUCUGCCUGCCUUUUUGACCUUAGCCUGCCUACCGACUCUGUCUCCAGCCUCGCCCUCCUGGCAAUGGUUGCAGGACCUACCAACGAUUAUCGGUCAACAGGAGAAUCCAGGCCGUAUUUAAGAUGCCACAUUCAAAUAAAGACAAAUAUUUGAAAUGGAGCUGCUGACAGUCGCUGAGUGAUGUAUGGAGGUAUUAACAAGGCUCACCUGUGCACUGUCCAAAGUGUUGCACCGUAAUGUCCUCG
Long non-coding RNA from Nothobranchius furzeri (turquoise killifish), 276 nucleotides. RefSeq lists it as uncharacterized. Lineage: Eukaryota; Metazoa; Chordata; Actinopteri; Cyprinodontiformes; Nothobranchiidae. The record is from RefSeq and is a predicted model, not a curated record.